CGUUGCAGCCGAUGGCGGAACACGGGCAAACACCAACUGGCUAAAGAGGAUUCACGGUUUUCGACAAAAACAAAGACUAACGUCAACUCACAGUGAAAGAUCCUCAGCAGACGGAAUCAUGAAGUCAUCUAAAACACUCUGGUAGACUGUUGUGGUGACCUUGGAUUUAAGAAAGCAGACUUUACCAACACCUGUACCGGACAUUACACCCCAAAUCAAGACUGACUGUGGAUAUUUCACACUGGACCUCAAGCAGCUUGGGUUGUAAUCCUCACCCGUCUUCCUCCAAACCCUUGGACCUUGAUUCCCGAAUGAAAAGCACACUUUACCCGAGGAACC
Long non-coding RNA from Astatotilapia calliptera (eastern happy), 339 nucleotides. The record is from Ensembl. Lineage: Eukaryota; Metazoa; Chordata; Actinopteri; Cichliformes; Cichlidae.